CUUGAUCGAGCCGAGCAGCAGCGGCUCGGUGCGGUUCUGGCCGUAGGUGGCGAGUAGCGCCUGGGCCUC
Molecule: antisense RNA, 69 nt
Filed under: Lentzea xinjiangensis
Lineage: Bacteria; Bacillati; Actinomycetota; Actinomycetes; Pseudonocardiales; Pseudonocardiaceae
Description: Lechevalieria xinjiangensis ASpks TB sRNA
Rfam family: ASpks TB sRNA
Source: RNAcentral